GGGGGCUCAAAGCACAAGGGUUAUCUCCCCUUGUUCCUUGAUUAAAGCCGGCUUAAGAAAUGGGAGUUUAUAUCUGUAUUGGCUUGCAGCUUUAGCAACAACAGAGUUAUUUUUGAAGAGUUGCUCGUUGAGUACAUCUCUAAGAGACCAUGAGAAGACCAAAUCCACCAGACCUGAAGUCAUUUUAGGCUCUCAAUGUGUCAACCACCACCACCACCAGAAGCAGCCGCAGCCGCAGCCGCAGCAGCAGAGAGGCUUUAGAUUUCAAAACAAAGGAAACACAGAGCUGGGACGACGACGACUUCUUUUCCCAUUUCUUCGUCAGUCGCGCUUCUGGGUCUAAGAAGAAAAUGGAGAGGCUGACGAACUGGAACGCCUUCAGAGCAGAAGUCCUGAACGGUCAUGCGAGGACGAAAUCAUGUCAAAGUCAAAAAGGACUAAGAAAUAACUAUGACCAAUGAGAGUAUAAGAUUUCCAUCCUCCCAAACAAUGAAAUAUUUUUUUUGAACUGAUUUAUAAUUUAUGUGUAUGCUACCUGGCAUAAGGGCUUGCCUAUGGUUGGCACUUCUCCUAGGAAGAGUUUUUUCAAGAACUAAAGCACUGAAUCAAGUACACUUGAUGGCAUUUAAGUCCCAAAAUUAUUAGUAUCUUUCUUUCUUUUCAA
Molecule: long non-coding RNA, 664 nt
Organism: Macadamia integrifolia
Lineage: Eukaryota; Viridiplantae; Streptophyta; Magnoliopsida; Proteales; Proteaceae
Exons: 3
Source: RefSeq, a predicted model, not a curated record